GAUGAACGCUGGCGGCGUGCCUAAUACAUGCAAGUCGAGCGAACAGACGAGGAGCUUGCUCCUCUGACGUUAGCGGCGGACGGGUGUGUAACACGUGGAUAACCUACCUAUAAGACUGGGAUAACUUCGGGAAACCGGAGCUAAUACCGGAUAAUAUAUUGAACCGCAUGGUUCAAUAGUGAAAGACGGUUUUGCUGUCACUUAUAGAUGGAUCCGCGCCGCAUUAGCUAGUUGGUAAGGUAACGGCUUACCAAGGCAACGAUGCGUAGCCGACCUGAGAGGGUGAUCGGCCACACUGGAACUGAGACACGGUCCAGACUCCUACGGGAGGCAGCAGUAGGGAAUCUUACGCAAUGGGCGAAAGCCUGACGGAGCAACGCCGCGUGAGUGAUGAAGGUCUUCGGAUCGUAAAACUCUGUUAUUAGGGAAGAACAAAUGUGUAAGUAACUAUGCACGUCUUGACGGUACCUAAUCAGAAAGCCACGGCUAACUACGUG
Molecule: ribosomal RNA, 497 nt
Filed under: uncultured bacterium
Lineage: Bacteria
Description: partial 16S ribosomal RNA
Rfam family: Bacterial small subunit ribosomal RNA
Source: RNAcentral